RNAcentral lists this ribosomal RNA (253 nucleotides) under uncultured bacterium. Its description in RNAcentral is "partial 16S ribosomal RNA". It matches the Rfam family "Bacterial small subunit ribosomal RNA", at positions 524 to 776 of the family's 1533-position model. The record is from RNAcentral.
CACGUAGGAGGCGAGCGUUGUCCGGAAUCAUUGGGCGUAAAGAGCGCGCAGGCGGCCCGGCAAGUCGGGUGUGAAAUCCCGGGGCUCAACCCCGGGACUGCAUUCGAUACUGUCGGGCUAGAGGUAGGUAGGGGAGAUCGGAAUUCCUGGUGUAGCGGUGAAAUACGCAGAUAUCAGGAGGAACACCGGUGGCGAAGGCGGAUCUCUGGGCCUUACCUGACGCUCAGGCGCGAAAGCUAGGGGAGCGAACAGG